RNAcentral lists this ribosomal RNA (253 nucleotides) under uncultured bacterium. Its description in RNAcentral is "partial 16S ribosomal RNA". It matches the Rfam family "Bacterial small subunit ribosomal RNA", at positions 524 to 776 of the family's 1533-position model. The record is from RNAcentral.
CACGUAGGGCGCAAGCGUUGUCCGGAAUUAUUGGGCGUAAAGAGCUCGUAGGUGGUUUGUUACGUCUGCUGUGAAAUCCUAGGGCUUAACCCUGGGUUUGCAGUGGAUACGGGCAGACUAGAGGUAGGUAGGGGAGAAUGGAAUUCCUGGUGUAGCGGUGAAAUGCGCAGAUAUCAGGAAGAACACCAAUGGCGAAAGCAGCUUUCUGGGACGGUACUGACGCUGAGACGCGAAAGCGUGGGGAGCGAACAGG